AACGCUAGCUACAGGCUUAACACAUGCAAGUCGAGGGGCAGCAUGGUCUUAGCUUGCUAAGGCCGAUGGCGACCGGCGCACGGGUGAGUAACACGUAUCCAACCUGCCGUCUACUCUUGGACAGCCUUCUGAAAGGAAGAUUAAUACAAGAUGGCAUCAUGAGUCCGCAUGUUCACAUGAUUAAAGGUAUUCCGGUAGACGAUGGGGAUGCGUUCCAUUAGAUAGUAGGCGGGGUAACGGCCCACCUAGUCUUCGAUGGAUAGGGGUUCUGAGAGGAAGGUCCCCCACAUUGGAACUGAGACACGGUCCAAACUCCUACGGGAGGCAGCAGUGAGGAAUAUUGGUCAAUGGACGAGAGUCUGAACCAGCCAAGUAGCGUGAAGGAUGACUGCCCUAUGGGUUGUAAACUUCUUUUAUACGGGAAUAAAGUGAGGCACGUGUGCCUUUUUGUAUGUACCGUAUGAAUAAGGAUCGGCUAACUCCGUGCCAGCAGCCGCGGUAAUACGGAGGAUCCGAGCGUUAUCCGGAUUUAUUGGGUUUAAAGGGAGCGUAGGCGGACGCUUAAGUCAGUUGUGAAAGUUUGCGGCUCAACCGUAAAAUUGCAGUUGAUACUGGGUGUCUUGAGUACAGUAGAGGCAGGCGGAAUUCGUGGUGUAGCGGUGAAAUGCUUAGAUAUCACGAAGAACUCCGAUUG
This 694-nucleotide ribosomal RNA is filed under the name uncultured bacterium. RNAcentral describes it as "bacterial SSU rRNA". It matches the Rfam family "Bacterial small subunit ribosomal RNA", at positions 32 to 715 of the family's 1533-position model. The record is from RNAcentral.